UUUUUUUUAUCUUGCAUUUUUUUUUUUAUCUUGCAUUUUUUUUUUAUCUUGCAUAAUUUUUUUAUCUCGCAUAAUUUUUUUAUCUCGCAUAAUUUUUUUAUCUUGCAUAAUUUUUUUUUUUUUUUCAUAUUCAAAAGUGAAUUUAAUUAAAAAUGAACUUAAUCAAAAGUGAAUUUAAUCAAAAGUGAAUUUAAUCAAAAGUGAAUUUAAUCAAAAGUGAACUUAAUUAAGACGACCAAAAAUAAACCUCUAAAAGAAAGUUUCUAAAACUGUUAUAAAAAAUUUUUAUGGUAUGAUGGCACAAUGACAUAAAAUUAUUAAAAAAAAAAAAAAAAAAAAAAAAACACUUUUUGCGAUAAAAAUUAUUUCGCUAGCGUCAAUACAUAACAUAUUUAGUUACUGUAUACUCUUAACGCAUUAAUAUGCUAUUAACACAUUAAUAUGCUAUAUUUUUAGUUUUGUAAAAGCUAAUACAAUUUUUCCUUAUUUUUCCUUAUGUUUCCUUAUUUUUUUUUUUCUUUUAACAAUAUUAUUAAUAUAAAUUUAAAUAAAUUAUCGUUUUUUUAGAAAAACAGUUCAUUCUUAGAUUGAAUUAGAUUAAAAUACGUAUAUUACUAAGUACGUAUACAUUACAUAAAUAUUACAUAAAAUAUAUUUUUUUUUUUACCUUCCGUACGUAUGUUCUAUUUUGAACAAUAAUUACAACAAUUUAUUUCAUAUAUGCGUAUAUAUAUAUGUAUAUAUAUAUAUAUACAUACAAUCCCUUUCUACCCCUCAAGAUAAUAAAAAUAUUUCCAUUAUGUGGGAACAAAAUACAUCACAAUAUUGCACUGGACGCUUUAAAAAUCAAAUAGAAUUGCUCCAAAAUAAUAAAAUGUAAUGGAAACUUAAACAAGAACAACAUCAUAUCUAUAAUUUAUAAAGUUGUUAAAAAUAUAAAAAAAAAGGUAAGAUGAAACAAAACAAAAAACAAAAAUAAUUCAAACUAUGCACGUUGGGGAUAUAUGUCUAUUCGAAUUUAAAAAAUUGUACAAAUAUAUCAUUUUGAAAUAUGCAAGAUAUGGUAGUUUUAAAUGGAAAAAAAAACUUUUAAGUUUAUA
This 1100-nucleotide long non-coding RNA is filed under the name Piliocolobus tephrosceles (Ugandan red Colobus). RNAcentral describes it as "lncRNA (ENSPTEG00000004591.1)". Lineage: Eukaryota; Metazoa; Chordata; Mammalia; Primates; Cercopithecidae. The record is from RNAcentral.